This 520-nucleotide ribosomal RNA is filed under the name uncultured Glomus. Its description in RNAcentral is "SSU rRNA". It matches the Rfam family "Eukaryotic small subunit ribosomal RNA", at positions 569 to 1089 of the family's 1831-position model. The record is from RNAcentral. Lineage: Eukaryota; Fungi; Glomeromycota; Glomeromycetes; Glomerales; Glomeraceae.
AGCAGCCGCGGUAAUUCCAGCUCCAAUAGCGUAUAUUAAAGUUGUUGCAGUUAAAAAGCUCGUAGUUGAAUUUCGGGGUCAGUAGGUUGGUCGUGCCACUGGUAUGUACUGGCCUCACUGAUUCCUCCUUCUUGUAGAACCGUAAUGCCAUUAAUUUGGUGUUGCGGGGAAACAGGACUGUUACUUUGAAAAAAUUAGAGUGUUUAAAGCAGGCUAACGCUUGAAUACAUUAGCAUGGAAUAAUGAAAUAGGACGUUCGAUCCUAUUUUGUUGGUUUCUAGGAUUGACGUAAUGAUUAAUAGGGAUAGUUGGGGGCAUUAGUAUUCAAUUGUCAGAGGUGAAAUUCUUGGAUUUAUUGAAGACUAACUACUGCGAAAGCAUUUGCCAAGGAUGUUUUCAUUAAUCAAGAACGAAAGUUAGGGGAUCGAAGACGAUCAGAUACCGUCGUAGUCUUAACCAUAAACUAUGCCGACUAGGGAUCGGAUGAUGUUAAUUUUUUAAUUGACUCAUUCGGCGCCUU